This 21-nucleotide microRNA is filed under the name Sus scrofa (pig). RNAcentral describes it as "ssc-mir286". The record is from RNAcentral. Lineage: Eukaryota; Metazoa; Chordata; Mammalia; Artiodactyla; Suidae.
GCCGAAAGCAUGGGGACAGCU